UCUCCGUAGGUGAACCGGCGGAGGGAUCAUUACAGAGUUCAUGCCCUACCGGGUAGAUCUCCCACCCUAGUUUAUUAUUACUUUGUUGCUUUGGCGGGCCGUUAGGCUCCGGCCCGACUACCGGCCCCGGCUGGUAAGCGCCCGCCAGAGGACCCAAAACCCUGAAUAUUAGUGUCGUCUGACUACUAUAUAAUAGUUAAAACUUUCAACAACGGAUCUCUUGGUUCUG
This 229-nucleotide unclassified non-coding RNA is filed under the name plant metagenome. RNAcentral describes it as "partial contains small subunit ribosomal RNA, internal transcribed spacer 1, and 5.8S ribosomal RNA". The record is from RNAcentral.